RNA transcript from Anastrepha obliqua, 3667 nucleotides. It is a transcript of the gene named transmembrane protein 245, with no coding region annotated. Lineage: Eukaryota; Metazoa; Arthropoda; Insecta; Diptera; Tephritidae. The record is from RefSeq and is a predicted model, not a curated record. The transcript is spliced from 9 exons.
CAUGGGCGUGGAAUUGGAGCGUGCAUGGCAAGUGAACUGACGUCAUGGUUGGCCUUGAACUGGGAAUCAGCCUUUAAACCGUAUCAUAGCAUUUUCAACAAAAUGAAUCGCUCCGACUCUAUCCGCCGAGAUCGCUCUUUCGAUAGCGUUCUCAAUAAGUUGAUGCGUAUGCGGUCACAGAAUAAUGAAACAUUCAAAGCAGCAAUGUACAAUUUUCUAAUAGCAGCUGGCAUUGGUGCAUUCGUUGCUGUCUGUUUCAUUCUCGGCCCAUUUGUACGUCCACUACUUUGGGCUUUUCUUAUGGGCGCAGUUCUUUUUCCUUUCAAACGGCGUUUAGCACAACUGCUAAACGGUUGGUUUGAGCGCCUAGAAGACCGUGAUUCAAACGUUAUGGUGUCUAUAUGUUUGGCCCCGCUCGAAGCAACCGAGUACUGCGGCAGCUUGUUGGUGAGUUGGUUGCGGGAACACUGGCAAUUGUUGACAGCAGGUGUGGGCUUGGCUGCGUGCUUUAAACUGUCGAUGUUGUAUGCGCCCAAAGGAUUUCUCUGUGCCAUUUGGCGCUUUGUGGUGUUUUCGCAUACUACUUUCGUACGAUUAAUUGGUUUUCUGAAUAUUUACAUGCUAUUUGCAAUAAUCGUAGUCUACUUGACUUCGGUUUAUUUUUUGUGGAAACCAGAAAAUAGUCCUAAGUUUGUCAUGGCUGGCCAGUCGCUGUGGGUUGCUAUCGUCAGUUACGGUUGCAGCUUUUUAGGGGCACUGCAAGUACCUGCUUUUAUUUCGAUUAUGUUGUAUGUGGGUGCAUCUAUUAUUUAUCAUAUGCGUACUGUCGAGGGGUCCAGCAGUUGUAUAGAUAAACUAAAGAAGUUGCUCGACAAAACAGAUUUUGAAAAGUCCGUAAGAAACAUUAGUAUAAAGAAGCAAAGCCUACAUUCGGAUGCUGAGGAUGUAUCAAUGAGUGAAACGAUGGAUUCCUUGGAUACCGUAGAGUUGGUGGACGAAAAGCAUGGCCAACAUUUAAGUGAUAUGUAUUUUAAGUGUUUGUUUUAUGCAUGCAUAGCCACAUUUUUGUACCGAAACAUAUGGAUGUUCAUAUUGGCCGCAAUACCCACAUCCCUGCAUCUGUUAUACACAUUGGGCAAUGUGACUGGCUUUACGACGUUCAUUUCAAAUAAACUCGAUGAAGUUUAUGAAACACUAAAGUCGUGGGCUAUCGAUCAUCACUCUGCCGUAUUGCCACUUUGUUUGCCAGGAGUGCUUGAAUUGAAUUAUAAAAUAAAUGCAAUCAUACGUGACUCAUUGAAGUCCUCGGUCGAUUUAGUUACUUCCAUAUUGAUGAUUAUUCUUAUGCUCUUGAUAAUUACGUUCUUGGGAGUAUUUUUCUGCGUGAAUAUUUAUUCAGAAACAAUUGAGGUUGCUUAUCUGGGAAAAGAUCUGAUCAACAAAACAAUUACUGAUCGUCCUGAAUUAGUCGAUAUACUGCCGGAGAAUAUACAGUCUUCCCUAGAUGAUGCGUUGGAUAAUGCACAUCAUUAUGGACGUCGGAAAAUCGAAACGUAUAUCGAUGAUUGGCUUGCUGAAGCGGAUUCAGUACAUGCAACCAAAUUGAAGGAACAAAUUUUAGAUGUUUGGGAUCGUUUGAUACAAUAUUGGAUUGAUGUGAACAAAUCUGAUUCCUCAUAUGGACCACGUGUGCCAACUGAUGCGCUUAAGACUACAUUCGGUGAAAUUGUUGAUAAUCCAGGACAUUUUAAAGAGCUAGUUUUAGUGGCUAAACAGGGCAUUAUCGGUUGGGCGAAGAGCAAUACGCAGACCAUACUGGAAGUAGCUGAAUCUCUGUGGCACAUCAUUCGUACGAAUCUCUCGAUGAUAAUGACGUUUACCGGUGAAAUCUUAUCUUUGUUGAUGUCUGGCGGACAGGCCUGUGUGGAAUUCAUACUCGAUAUGAUUGUCUUCUUCACAGCGCUAUUCUAUUUGUUGUCCAGCAGCAAUACGAAAUAUGCGCCACUACAAAUCACCAAAUAUUUAGGACUGCCUACAUCUGGCUCCAAGAUCGCCGAUGCGUUGGAAAACUCUAUUUCGGGUGUGCUAAUUUCCAUGUUUAAAUGCUCCAUCUUUACGGGCCUCUUCACCUGGCUGGUACAUACAGUGUUUGGCGCCCGUAUUGUCUUUCUGCCAUCGGCGCUGGCAGCGAUUUUGUCUGCGGCUCCAUUCCUGGGCAGUUAUUGGUGUGCAUUGCCCGCUUUGUUAGAGUUAUGGCUGGCACAAGAUCGCUUCUACGCUGGACUCGUGCUCUUCCUGUUGCAAUUCUUUGUGCCGCCUUACUUUGAGGCAGCCAUCUAUACAGAAAUGAAGGGUGGUGGACAUCCAUAUUUGACUGGUUUAGCUAUUGCCGGCGGCAUGUAUUGGGUUGGUUGGCAGGGUGCAAUCUUUGGACCGCUCAUGCUCUGCUUCUUCAUUGGCACCUUUGAAGUGGCAGCUGUAGCUAUGCGUAGUAAUGAUGAUUUGAGACGCAGCUCUGAAGAAGACACCCGCGCGACGUGAGUUGCUUAUUGAACUCAUUGACACAUGCCAAAUGACAUAAGCAUUCAAAGCAAAUAACUAUACCCGUGGUUAUGUAUUUCGCCAAACACUAAACUUGCUGCUAACACACUUCAUUCAUGCUAAUACGUUUCAUGCAACUUUAAGUUACGAGAGUUGAUAAAUUUAGCUUUUAACAAGAGUUCUUGAAUUCGAGUUCCUUCAUUGGAUCAAUGUUAACAUGCAUCCACGCUGAUUUGUAAAAGUAAUAAAAAGGUUUAUUUAUGAAUAAUUCAAAAACCGGCUGCUAUCCUCUUACGCAGGCAUUCCUUUUAUGACUACUAACAUUAAGCAAAUUACUAUAAUAUUAGCAUGCAAUAGCAGCAAUUAAAAAUUUACUACUUUACUCGAUUGAUUGAAUUAAUGAAAUGAAUUAAUGUAAAAAGUGGCGCAACAGGCUCGAAUACUUUGAGGAUUAAAUGCAACUACUUAUGUGUUAAAUCUAUAUGUACCUAACUACUGCAAUACAUGGCUUAUGUAUAAAUAGCAGUUGAUUCUGAAACUAAAAGAAAAAUUACACUCAUAAUAAAUAAUGAUAAACGAAUUUUGCAGUCAGACAAUGAACAAAUUUAUCAAUGAAAUUUAUUGAUUUGUUGUGUAAUUAUAAAAUUAAAAUUUAAAAAUUUUAUGUAACGUGCUCCGCCCAUUAUCUACGCAAGUGAUAUGUCAAAUGAGUUUUUUUUUUGUAUUACACUUUUUUAAGACGAUUAAAACUACAUCUUUUAUAAAACGUACAGCUUUAAAUUUACCUUAAAAGUAGAAGUGUUACUUGUUUGGUUAUAUUCUUUGAGAAAAAAUAAAUUUUUUUUGUCCGGAGAGAAGAAAUGUUCAUAGUUUAAGAACUUGUAAAAUACGUAUGGAGCCUUAGACAAACGAGAUUCUUAGAUUUAUGAAUGAUAUUGCUUCCAAAAAACAACUGUUGAUCAUAUAAUUUAUAAUAAAUUAAACUUAAUGAAAUAGAAUAAGCAAUAAUUUAAGCUUUACGCCUAGUAGCAUGACAUAUUUUUGUUUUAACAUAAUAUAUGUAUAUAUGUAUGUAUAUUCCAGCGAAACUGAAAAAUUUUAAAUAAUGAAAAUGUAUCUAACAAAU